Long non-coding RNA from Manacus vitellinus (golden-collared manakin), 696 nucleotides. RefSeq lists it as uncharacterized. The record is from RefSeq and is a predicted model, not a curated record. Lineage: Eukaryota; Metazoa; Chordata; Aves; Passeriformes; Pipridae. The transcript has 5 exons.
GGUGGAUAGCAGAGAGCAGGGCACGGAUAACACCGUGAGCCGCCGAUGGGAUGGGAUGAUCCCAAGCGCUCGGAGCAAUGCCGGCCCGGCCCGCCUGGUGGCAAACUGCUUUCACUGGAAUCGCUUCUCCGUUCAGCAGAGUGACUCAGCUGACUUGGGUGAACCCCUGGAACUGUGCUAGCUGGAAACCAGCCUAGACAUGCCCUCUGGCUCCUACCACCGGGGAACUCCCUUAGCUGUGACAUUAUAAUGGGAGGUGGAGACACCUCGAGGAGAGGGUCGAGACAGACAACAGCAAUUACAGUCAAUAACAUCUCUGACUUGCCUCAGUUACAGAAACCUCAGGAGAACUGUCCACCCUUCAAAUCUGUUUUGAUGUGUUUUAAAUGCAUGACAUGGAGCACAGCCACUCUCAGCAGAUUGCAGAAAGAGGCCAUCAAACCAUAACACAUCUUCGGAGGGCUUUACAGGUAUUUCAUUUGUUCCUCGCUGAGCUCCUCCAGCCACGCAGGCCAGGUUGCCCAAGAGCAGAGGCAGCGCACAGACCUGCUCCAGAAGCAGCAUGUGGAUGAACUUGUGUGGCAGUAGAGCUCGGCACGAGUCUGUCUGUCAGCCUAAAUGAGCAAGAAAACUGCGCGGUGCCUUGGAGGCCAGCCCGACCCCCCUCCCGGUGAGCCGCGGGCAGAGGAGAGCGGC